Molecule: long non-coding RNA, 9205 nt
Filed under: Homo sapiens (human)
Lineage: Eukaryota; Metazoa; Chordata; Mammalia; Primates; Hominidae
Description: HSALNT0362800
Rfam family: mir-130 microRNA precursor family (bases 2826-2908)
Source: RNAcentral
AUUCAAGAUGGACGGCAGGGAGUGUGGAAGGAGAAAGGGGGCGAGGGGGGAAGAGCGAGAUCGGCAGAGGAGAGGGUCUCCGCGGCCCACCGGCCUCGCAACCUCGGUCCCGGCCGGCGGGUGGCGGGGCGGCCGCUGGGGAUCCAAGCCCGGCCCGGGAGAGGGGCUGGCGGGGUGCGAGAGGGCGUGAGCGAGGGGGAGCGAGGCCAGGGAGGGGAGCCAAGAGGGAGGGAAGGGCAGAGAAAGAGCCCGGGAAGAAGGAGGUGGCAGGCAGAGGAUCCUAACGAAGAGCAAUGUGUAGGUAUCGAGAGCUUCCCGAAGGGUAACGACACCGAUUUUCGGUUUUAUUCUCUCUUGGGGAAGGGAGGGGGACGGUCUGGGCUCUUUCUCUCGUCUUCCUUUUUCCCUCCUCAUUCUCCACUCGUGGGCAUCUUUUCUAUUUUUUCCUUUGGAAACACUGUAACUGGGAAGCACCAGGCGUGUCUUUCUGAGGUGGCCUCACUGUCAUUUUCCAGUGGGGGGCGUGGUGGGGUAGGGAUGGGGGGCUCCGCUGGGCACGGCCGAGCUGGGCCAUCUGUCUCCACCUGGGUUGUGUGCGAGGGCGUGGAGUGUUCCGAGGGGGACCGGGGGCCGAAGGGCUGGAGCAGGGCAGGGAGUUCUGCACCUCCAGAAGUUGUAGGGUGAGCCAGGGGCGGUGUGGGGGUGUGAGGCUGGUUUUCGAGCUGAUAGUUGUGGGGUGUUGAGGGGUGCGGGGAUGUGUGUGUGUGGGGGGCGUGCGCUCACACUCCAGUUCUUGUUGUUUGGGUGUGUAAUGAGGGCUGAGUUGUGCAGCAAGUAUGGCUGAGAGUUUGUGUGUGUGUGUGUGUGUGUGUGUGGUGUGUACGUGCGCCUGUGUGGUCCAGCCUCGAGGUGUGUGUGUUCGGGGGGAGCACAGUUGGGUGUUGAAGGAGAGCGCCCCUCACCCCCCACUUCCCAGCUGCCUCUCUCAUCCCAUUCACAGAACAUGGCUUUCAGGACCCUCCUGGUCUCCUCCUCCCGUCGCCAUGGCUGCGAGGAGGGGGUGGGAGGAGACAGUUGGGGCCAGCCCCCUGCCCCUGCUGCUCCAGCUAACCCCCCACCUGCCCUUUCUCUCCCUUUCACAGGCUGGGCCCCAUCCCCUGCUGCUCUGGGGGCAGGGGCCGGAAGAUGGUGGCCAAUGAGGAGGGGGAGAGGAGAGAACUUGAGCCGGGGCCUCCCCUCCCCCAUUUCCUCCUCGGUCUCUACACUCGCUUCUGGAAGGAGCUGGGGGCUGGCUCCUGGGCCCAAGGUGGGGGAGGGGUCCUGCUGGCUGGUGAGUCGCUGGGCCUGCUCCUCAGGAAUGAGUUGGGUGUGUGAGAGCUGAGGGGCUCUUGGCCCUUUCUCCCUGCACUCCCUAAGGAGAGACCUGGAAACUUCUUGGGGAAGAAUCUUCCCCUGGCCUCCCUGAAGCUUGCUGUGCAGCCUUAUCUUUGCCCCUCUGCCCCCUGUUGGUGUGAUCCAGUUCCCAGCUGGGCCUGGUUUGCCCAACCCCAGAGCAGAGAGGUCACUGACCCUCGAGGGGUCUUGGUUUCCGCCCAUUAAAACUGUAGGGCAGGGCCCCAUGUUUGCAGAUUACGGGAACAAACUCUGCCGGGGAGAGCGGGAGGGAACGUCUCCUGCUUCCUGAGGGGGUGGGACGAGGCUAGAGGGAAGCCCAGAGGAAGAGCUCCCAACUGGAAUUCUGUCCUCUAUUCCUUACGGUGGCUGUGGAUUAGGGAAGAAGGCAUCUCCCCUUCGUUGAUCGGGGCACUGGAGGAAUCACCCUCCAGCCUCUGUUUCUCUGGGCUGCCCAAAGUUCACUGGGUCAGAACUGGAGCUGGGCUCCGGGGCUGUGGCCCUAGCUGGAAUGUGCCACAAUAGAGCCUGCCUGGGUCUGAGCCUCCAGAUAUCCAGGUGUCCUUCCAGGGCAGCUUUCUGGCUUUGGGUGUUAAUCUUCCGGGGACUGUUUGUCCUGUAUUUAAGCCCCCUUAGGGUUGGAUAGGAUGGGGAAGUGCUAGGAUGAGCUUGAAGACUCCCCAACCAAGGGUCCCUGGAUAAGACAGGAAAUAACUCAGAUGUGAAUCCCACUGCCAGUGAAAGCCUAUCCCUAACUCUCAGUAACUGUGAGCGAAUCACCCUCACCAUUUUAAUGCUGAAUCUGCAAAGUGCUUUCAGGACCUCCAAAAGGAGAUGCAGGGGUGGGGCUUCACCAGCAGCUUUCACCUCCCCGCCUGGAAGCUUCUCUCUACUGCGUGGGGAGCUGUGACUACAGGCUCCCACCUCUCUGGUCCUGGAAGGUCAUCUGAGAGUGUUGCCUUGAGGCCUAGAGCUCUGCUUUAUCUAAAUUUAAAAGGAGAUGGAAACUUAGAGAAGAGUAGAGGGUUCUGUAGUCUUGGGCAGCAAGCUCCUCUCUAGAAGGUAAGCUAGCGGAAAUGCAAAUCCAGAUGAACACAGCCUCAUACGAGUGACCUCCAGACUUUGGGGAUUGCUAAUAGCCGUUUUCUUUGAGGACUGAGCAUCAAGCCCGAAGUAUCCCUGCAGCUGCUUUAGUGGGUCCUGUCCUCCCAUGCCAAAACCUCCAAGAAAAAGGUGGUCUCUGUGCUGGGGGUCAGGGGGUUGGUGAAGAAGGCGGCAAAAGGAAGAGUGGUGAAAAAAUAGAAUGAACACUAAGAAUGGAAUAAAAGGGAAAAAAGCUGUAUUGAAGCAAAGAAGGGGCAGAGGGAGCCCGUGAGCUGAGUGGGCCAGGGACUGGGAGAAGGAGUGAGGAGGCAGGGCCGGCAUGCCUCUGCUGCUGGCCAGAGCUCUUUUCACAUUGUGCUACUGUCUGCACCUGUCACUAGCAGUGCAAUGUUAAAAGGGCAUUGGCCGUGUAGUGCUACCCAGCGCUGGCUGCCUCCUCAGCAUUGCAAUUCCUCUCCCAUCUGGGCACCAGUCAGCUACCCUGGUGGGAAUCUGGGUAGCCUCACUUGUUAGUUAUACUAAUAGCUCUCAUUUAUGGAACUACUUCUGUAUGCAGUGCUUGUGAUAGACACUGCCUCCGUUACUGUGAAACCUAAUAACUUCUGGGAGGUAACAGCCCCAUUUUAUGGAUGAAAAACUGAGGGUCAGAAAGGUUUAAACAGUUUGGCUAAGAUUGUGUAGCUCUUAGGUUGCAAAGCCUAGAUACAACCCUGUGUUAAGUCUUGACAGCUCACUCAUCUUUUUGUAGACCCAUCUGGAGAGAUCUGAAUAGGUUCUUCAAACUGGGAGAUUUCCUGAGCUGAGGGGUGGAAGGUUUUGAUGCCAUCUGCUGGUUGUAUGAGGAUAUCUUCCAAAGCCUCAAACCUUUAAGGACCAGAAGUGGUGGCAACUCCUUAGGCUAAGAAGGAUAAGCAUUCCCAGACUCAGCCCGGAAUGGAGAGUGAGUGGAAAAAGAUUAGGAGAAUCACUAUUAGGUACAGAGUAGGCCUCCUUGAGAAAAAAAGGAAUGCACCAGAAAGGAAAGGGGGUUAACUCGAGAGGAUUGCUCCCCAAAGAAAAGGACCUGUGUGCUGCUGGCAUCCCAUACCUACAGCUCCUUCCCUGGCUCAUGAGGCAUGGAAAGACCUCACUCCUUCCCUGAAUCCACUUACCUUUCUCAGCACCACUCCCUCUUGGUCACGGGGUGUUUGAUGGUAAUGCUGCUUGAGGGCACACCUGUCUGGGCAUCCAAGAUUUGGACAGCGUUGCCCAUGACUUAAUCUUAAAGAUUAAUAGGAUCCCUUGAAUCAACCCACAGAAUGAUUCUCCCAGGACCAAUUACAAGGAAAUUGAGGCCGGGUGCGGUGGCUCACGCCUGUAAUCCCAACACUUUGGGAGGCCGAGGCGGGCGGAUCACCUGAGGUCAGGGGUUCAAGACCAGCCUGGCCAACAUGGUGAAACCUCGUCUCUACUAAAAAUACAAAAAUUAGCCAGGCGUGGUAAUGCACGCCUGUAGUCUCAGCUACUUGGGUGGCUGAGGCAGGAGACUCUUGAAUGAAUCUUGGAGGCAGAAGUUGAAGUGAGCCGAGAUUGCGCCACUGCACUCCAGCCUGGGCAACAGAGCGAGACUCCAUCUCAAAAAAAAAAAAAAAGAAAGAAAAAUUUGAGAGCAAUGACUCAGCCAUUUACUUCUCUGUCUCCCACAGUGCCUAGUAGGCUUAAUUAAAACUUGUUAAAAUAAAUUGAAUGAGAGGAAUAUUUGGGGAGCUUCUUUAAGAAGGCAGCUAGUAUUCCUGGUCUUUUGGCUAAGAUCAAGUGAAGAAGGCAGCUAGUUUGUGCCUGGUUUUCAACAGCAGAGUUUGGGACUUGAGAAAUCUUCCCUAAACUUUGGUGCAAGAAAUGGGUCCAAGAGGAAUAGGGUUUUGAGGUCCUCUGCUGGACCCUGAGAGGGAUCUUGGCAUCAUGAGGCAUGUAGAAACUGAAAGAUGGGUCAGACUCCCCUGAGGCCUUAGUUGAGGGAUGUUGGACAUCUCUCCAUGGCUUGCCUUUUUCCCUUGCCCUUUUACUUCUGUGCCUUCCAGUUCUAGUCCUCCUUUCUCCUGCCCAGACAGCCUCUCCAUUCUGAUCACAACAACAGUAUUUGAGAUAGUACAGUUAGCUUUAUUUCCCUUUUUUUUUUUUUUUUAAGACAGAAUCUCACUGUCGCCCAGGCUGGAGUGCAGUGGCGCGAUCUCGGCCCACUGCAACCUCUGCCUACCAGGUUCAAGUGAUUCUCCUGCCUCAACCUCCUGAGUAGCUGGGAUUACAGGCGUGCACCACCAUGCCUGGCUAAUUUUUGUUGUCCAAGCUGGUCUGAAACUCUUGGCCUCAAGUGAUCGCCCACCUCAGCCUCCCAAAGUGCUGGGAUUACGGGUGUGAGCCACCGCACCCUACCAUAUGUUCCUUACUUUCUCCAGUCUAUUAAAACUUCUAUUUGAGCCUCUUGUCUGGGCACAAAUAGCCAUUUGAUACUGCCACUCCACUCUAAAAAACAAUAAUUUUCCCAUAUUUCCCUAAUACCAUUGGGAUUAAAUCUAGAUUCCCUAAAUAGUUUAUGGCUCCUGCUUCUCUUUCCUUUCAUGUCCUCUCACCCACUUUUUAAGGAGACAAAGUUUUGCUCCAGCCCAGGCUGGAGUGCAGUGGCGUGAUCAUGGCUCACUGCAACCUCAGCCUCCUGGGCUCAAGUGAUCCUCCUGCUCAGCCUCCUGAGUAGUCGAGACUACAGGUGCAGGUAUGGCUUUUUUUUUUUUGAGACAAGAUCUUGCUAUAUUGCCCAGGCUAACCUCAAAGUUUGGCCUCAAGCAAGCCUCCAGCCUUGGCUUCCUAAAGUGCUGGAAUUAAGGCGUGAGCCACUGCUUUCAGCCCACAAGCAACUUUUAUUUCCUUCAAUUAACUAAACUUAAGUUACUUGACACAUACUCUGUCUGAAAUACUUCCAUCACUUUUGCCUUUGCCUACCUAACUUCUUAUCUUUCAAAUGCCAUCGUAGUCAUCGCUUUUGUGAAGCCUUCCUUGACUCCUUACAUCUAAGCUGAGUUCCUUUCCUAUGAGCUCCCAAGCUUCCUCCACGUCCCUGCUUAGAUCCCUUAUUAUCAUCUUCUACUGGGAUUUCCUGGUUAUUGCAUCUCCUACUGGACAGAAAGCUCCAGGAAGUCAGGUCACAGCUGCCUUAUCUUCACCAUGUGCUUAACAUCUAGUGCUUAACACAAUGCCUGGCAAGUAAUAGAUGCUUUAUAAAUAUUUGGAAUAUUAAUGAAUGAAUCUGGAAAGAAUAUUAUAGCUUACCAAAAAAUGAUCUUUAUGAUGUAUAUGGUCUCCCCUGUAACUGUUGGGCACCCAACAACAGUAGGGAUUUCAUACCACUGCCAAUAAAAUGUCCCUUGGGUCAUAUGGUGGCAUUGAUGUUGCGAUUUUGAGCUUUUUUUUUUUUUUUUUUUUUUUUUUUUUGAGACGGAGUCUUGCCCUGUCGCCAGGCUGGAGUGCAGCAGCACGAUCUUGGCUCACUGCAACCUCUGCCUCCUGGGUUCAAGUGAUUCUCCUGCCUCAGCCUCCCAAGUAGCUGGGAUUACAGGCACGUGCCAUCAUGCCUGGCUAAUUUUUGAAUUUUUAGUAGAGACGGGGUUUUGCCAUGUUGGUCAGGCUGGUCUCAAACUCCUGACAUCAGGUGAUCCACCAGCCUCGGCCUCUCAAAGUGCUGGAACUGCAGGCGUGAGCCAUCGCGCCCGGCCUAAUUUUUGAGCUAUUUUGUUUCACUUCCCAUCAACUGCCAGAGCAGCACUUUGGCUGACUGAUUUUCCUUUUAGCCUUAAGUGUGCCCAUGAACUGACCAGAGCAUUACAGAACCAGGCUGAAAAGCCACGGGACUCAAGAAAAUCCUUAUUCUGAGAUGAGCCUCUUUCAGAGCCCGAUCCUGGAUCUAGGCAAAAUGGACUUACUGUCAGGGGUGCCAGCAGACACAAGCGGUUUUGGAUGCUCUCGCCGAGUAGCUAACAAAACCCACCCCUCUUACUAAGGCAAAACUUCACCUGAACGCUUAUUCCCCGGUAAAAGCUCAAGCAGUAGUCUUGCCAUAGACAGGGCAACUGCUGCCCCCUAGUGGUAUAAAGGGACAGGCCCGGGUGGGUGGGGGUGUGUGUGUGUGACGGGGACAGUUUAUGGGUACAUGCACAGGGAAAGAAAGUCAGAGGACAGGUUGCCUCAAGUUGCUUUUUCCCUUUUUAUUAAAAAUAGACUCAAGCACUUUAUGUAUCAUACAAAAGUUUCAUUCGCUGGUGGCAGCCACGGGAAAGACUGGCCCCGUAGCACUGAUUUUCCACCUCCCCUCCAGGGGACUGGGUCCCAGGAGCAGUGACUGGGCCUCAGAGAAAGCCCAUAAAGACUGCUUACUCUGGAAGCAGCCGACUAGGGGCUGUUCCGCGAGCAGCUGUCCCCACCCCACCCAAUGGCAAAAGUUAGAUACUCGAAAGUGCCUCUUCAGUGCCAAGAUAAACUAACAAGUGGAGUGAAAUGGAAAACCCUUUGAUUAUUUUACUAUUUCCCAGGGCCUGGGAUUUGAGUUUUCCCUGCACUCAAGUCCUUUUCCCUACAAAUAGGGGUAGGAAACUUCAUCCUCAGAGACUCUGGUCUCCUGGUGUCUGAGACCAGAAUUUCACUCCAACCCAAGUCUUUUCUCAUCUGCUGUUCUGUGGUCCAUGAUCUACUUGCCCUGUGACCCAAGGUUUGUCCUCUGUUCACUCAAAAAGAGGUGGAGCAAAAACGGAUUCCUCCCACAAUCCUCUCUGCCUGAGUCUAUGCCCUGCCAUCGCUUCCAUGUUCAGGAUCUUGGGAACAGAAAGACCCACAACCAUCCCUUUCCCCCAGUUCUGUCUCUCCCUGACUGCUGCCCACUCCUGAGCCUUAACACCCCUGGGGUACCCCCAGACCCCUGUUCUAAAGGGUGCCUGGUAGUGGAUAUGGUGGAGGCAGGGGAGGGGUUGGUUGGAGCCAGGUUUCCCCCAGGGGUGGGGCAGUACUCAUGCUGGUAUAGACUGCUUGGCAGGGCCGUGGGGAGGGAGGGGCAUGCGGAGGAAGGGCACACCCUGCCUGAGCCCCUCAGUCCCAGCCGUUGUCCUUCACCAUGUGUGACAUUUCAAUGAUGUAUUUCCCUUCCUUGUACUUCUGGCUCGUCUCAAAAGCUUGCUCCUGGUGAAGGAGAAAGCAGUGAUUGUAGGACAAAGCAGUUUCCUUCCAGGCCCCACUGUCACCUGUAUGGCCCCCACCCCAAGGGUCAUCCACCUAGCCCAACCCAGUGACUAGUUCUUUCUUUCCUCUUUGGACCAUGCAAGGAAGGACCUGACAUGGUCACUGGUGCUUGAAGGGCCAUGGGGACUGCCACUUUAGAGGGUGACCCUCUUCCUCAGGUACUUACAUAUUUCCAGCCCAGUGUGGUUUUGCAGCUCUCACAGAAAAUGUCAGCUACCGAGUGGAGCCCCGUGAGCAAGAGGCGCUGUUCAGCUGGCCCGCAACCCACGUUGACCCUGUCUCAGGAAACAGGAAGGACCCAGCACCCAGUGGGGUUGCACUGUCAGUCCAGUCCCCAGACAGCCCAAGGGAACUUCCAUCUGGAGAGAACUGGACAGCCCCUGCCUUUGAUAAUCCACCCCUUUAAGACUAGAGCCUGGGCCUUCUUUUUCCACCGUUAUGAUUUCAAUUCUCCCCCGGCUCCCCAUGUGAGAACUUCAGAUUGAGACCCUCUUUGCAAAAGGGGAGGCAAAGACUGAAGGCACAAGAUCACCUGAUGGAUUCCCCCCUUUCUCCACAGAGGAAAAUUACUCACUCACACACAAGCACAAGCACACGCACAAGGAAAGAGGUAGACUCACACGGAGUUAAACAGGUAGGCUCGGCCAUGGCUCCCUUGGAAGGACUGUGGAGACAUAGGACAGACAAUGACUACCAAGCAGCCUUCAGCCCCACUGCCUGAAUCCCCGCAGGGGUGUGUAGGAGAGAGGAAGAGCUUUGCUGCCUCACCCCUGGGUGAUGUUCAGGCUAGCCUGGUGCGCGAGAGGAGGGGAAUGGCAGGUCCCCGCUUCGCGUACCUUGGAAAUAAGCUCAUCGUGUUUGGCCAGGUGUGCACGGCAGUGGACACAGCUGUAAGUGCGGUGACAGCGGGGCAGAUAGCUGCGGAAAGUCUUGGUGGGGAGGCAGGCAGGGCCCGGACCGGGGUCACAGCUGGGCAUGACGGGCUGGAGGACAAUGCCCUGGUGGGCUGGAGGGGCUGGCGCCGUGCAGCCCCCGCAGAGACGGUCGCAGGUGAAGCAGCGGAGCAGGUUGGCUAGAGCCGUGUUUCAGGGCAGGAGAAGUGUUGGGGGGCUGCCCGGCCAGGGCCCCCCCAGACGAGAACCAGAUAGAAAUAGAAGUCACCUGGGAAGAGGGGAAAGGACAUCAGGGGAGCUGCGACCUCAGGAGGACCCCUCCUGAGGGAAUGGAGGAAAAGGGAAUCAGCUCACCCAUACCUCUACUUUCCCCAUCACCAUCGACCCCCCCACAGCAUCCAGUUGCAUUGUCGCCCUGUCCCCUGGAUCCCCAUUCUGCUCUGGCAAACCUGGCAGCCGAUCCAGGCUUCUGGCGCCAAAGCCAGGGAGUCGGUGUUUCUCCCUCCUGGGGCAGAAGCAGCCUCCACCAUUUUCCACAGAGAGAAGCCCACGGGCAC